AUAUCAAUAAGCGGAGGAAAAGAAACCAACAGGGAUUGCCUCAGUAACGGCGAGCGAAGCGGCAAAAGCUCAAAUUUGAAAGCUAGCGUCUUUUAGGCGUUCGCGUUGUAAUUUGAAGAUGGCAACUUUGGAGACGGUCUCUGCAUAUGUUCCUUGGAACAGGACAUCAUAGAGGGUGAGAAUCCCGUACAUGGUGGGGAUACCGUUUCUUUGUAAAGUGCUAUCCAAGAGUCGAGUUGUUUGGGAAUGCAGCUCUAAGUGGGUGGUAAAUUCCAUCUAAGGCUAAAUAUAGGUGAGAGACCGAUAGUGAACAAGUACAGUGAUGGAAAGAUGAAAAGAACUUUGAAAAGAGAGUGAAAAAGUACGUGAAAUUGUUGAAAGGGAAGGGCUUGAGAUCAGACUUGGAUUAUAACGAUCAACUGUCUUUCGGGACUGUGCACUCGUUAUUUUCUAGGCCAGCAUCAGUUUUGGCAGUGAGAUAAUGACACUGGGAUGUGAUUCUGCUUCGGUAGUUUGUUAUAACCAGCUGUUGAUGUCACUAGCCGGGACUGAGGACCGCGCAUUUUGCUAGGAUGCUGGCGUAAU
RNAcentral lists this ribosomal RNA (585 nucleotides) under [Candida] sp. BG02-7-17-009B-2-1. RNAcentral's name for it is "eukaryotic LSU rRNA". It matches the Rfam family "Eukaryotic large subunit ribosomal RNA", at positions 40 to 635 of the family's 3401-position model. Lineage: Eukaryota; Fungi; Ascomycota; Saccharomycetes; Saccharomycetales. The record is from RNAcentral.